CCCUUAGAUGUUCUGGGCCGCACGCGUGCUACACUGAGUGGAUCAGCGGGUCAGGUUGCGCGAAAGCGUUUCCUAAUCUUUAAAUCCGCUCGUGAUGGGGAUUGACGGUUGCAAUUUUCUGUCAUGAACGAGGAAUACCUUGUAAGCGCGGGUCAUCAUCCCGCGCUGAAUACGUCCCUGCCCUGUGUACACACCGCCCGUCGCUCCUACCGAUGAAUCGUCCGGUGAAGUUCACAGAGUGGCGGUUCGUGGAGUUGCUCGCGAAGUGAAAUGGACCUCACGAUUUAGAGGAAGGAGAAGUCGUAACA
This 308-nucleotide ribosomal RNA is filed under the name uncultured eukaryote. RNAcentral describes it as "partial 18S ribosomal RNA". It matches the Rfam family "Eukaryotic small subunit ribosomal RNA", at positions 1470 to 1796 of the family's 1831-position model. The record is from RNAcentral.